Molecule: ribosomal RNA, 433 nt
Filed under: uncultured bacterium
Lineage: Bacteria
Description: partial 16S ribosomal RNA
Rfam family: Bacterial small subunit ribosomal RNA
Source: RNAcentral
AACGAACGCUGGCGGCAUGCCUAACACAUGCAAGUCGAACGAGACCUUCGGGUCCAGUGGCGCACGGGUGCGUAACGCGUGGGAACCUGCCCUUAGGUUCGGAAUAACUCCCCGAAAGGGGUGCUAAUACCGGAUAAUGUCUUCGGACCAAAGAUUUAUCGCCUUUGGAUGGGCCCGCGUUGGAUUAGCUAGUUGGUAGGGUAAAAGCCUACCAAGGCGACGAUCCAUAGCUGGUCUGAGAGGAUGAUCAGCCACACUGGGACUGAGACACGGCCCAGACUCCUACGGGAGGCAGCAGUGGGGAAUAUUGGACAAUGGGCGAAAGCCUGAUCCAGCAAUGCCGCGUGAGUGAUGAAGGCCUUAGGGUUGUAAAGCUCUUUUACCCGGGAUGAUAAUGACAGUACCGGGAGAAUAAGCGCCGGCUAACUCCGUG